This 629-nucleotide ribosomal RNA is filed under the name uncultured bacterium. RNAcentral describes it as "bacterial SSU rRNA". It matches the Rfam family "Bacterial small subunit ribosomal RNA", at positions 56 to 721 of the family's 1533-position model. The record is from RNAcentral.
UGCAGUCGAACGCGAACGCACCUUCGGGUGUUAUUAGAGUGGCGGACGGGUGAGUAACACGUGGGAACAUGCCUUUCGGUACGGAACAACGCUUGGAAACGAGUGCUAAUACCGUAUACGCCCUUAGGGGGAAAGAUUUAUCGCCGAAAGAUUGGCCCGCGCUAGAUUAGCUAGUUGGUAAGGUAAUGGCUUACCAAGGCGACGAUCUAUAGCUGGUUUGAGAGGAUGAUCAGCCACACUGGGACUGAGACACGGCCCAGACUCCUACGGGAGGCAGCAGUGGGGAAUAUUGGACAAUGGGGGCAACCCUGAUCCAGCGAUGCCGCGUGAGUGAUGAAGGCCUUAGGGUUGUAAAACUCUUUCAGAUGGGAUGAUAAUGACAGUACCAUCAGAAGAAGCUCCGGCUAACUCCGUGCCAGCAGCCGCGGUAAUACGGAGGGAGCUAGCGUUGUUCGGAAUUACUGGGCGUAAAGCGCGCGUAGGCGGCUUUGCAAGUAGGGGGUGAAAUCCCGGGGCUUAACCCCGGAACUGCCCUCUAAACUGCAGAGCUAGAAUCCUGGAGAGGUGAGUGGAAUUCCUAGUGUAGAGGUGAAAUUCGUAGAUAUUAGGAAGAACACCAGUGGCGAAGG